CCUACGGGUGGCAGCAGUGAGGAAUAUUGGUCAAUGGGCGCGAGCCUGAACCAGCCAAGUCGCGUGAGGGAAGACGGUCCAGCGGAUUGUAAACCUCUUUUGUCGGGGAGCAAAGGCCGCCACUCGUCGCGUGCCGAGGGUACCCGAAGAAAAAGCAUCGGCUAACUCCGUGCCAGCAGCCGCGGUAAUACGGAGGAUGCGAGCGUUAUCCGGAUUUAUUGGGGUUAAAGGGUGCGCAGGCGGACGAUCAAGUCAGCGGUAAAAUGAAGAGGCUCAACCUCGUCGAGCCGUUGAAACUGGCUUGCUGGAGUGAGUGAGAAGUAUGCGGAAUGCGUGGUGUAGCGGUGAAAUGCAUAGAUAUCACGCAGAACCCCGAUUGCGAAGGCAGCAUACCGGCGCCAAACUGACGCUCAUGCACGAAAGUGUGGGUAUCGAACAGGAUUAGAUACCCUAGUAGUC
RNAcentral lists this ribosomal RNA (459 nucleotides) under uncultured bacterium. RNAcentral's name for it is "partial 16S ribosomal RNA". It matches the Rfam family "Bacterial small subunit ribosomal RNA", at positions 338 to 795 of the family's 1533-position model. The record is from RNAcentral.